RNAcentral lists this ribosomal RNA (1344 nucleotides) under uncultured bacterium. RNAcentral describes it as "bacterial SSU rRNA". It matches the Rfam family "Bacterial small subunit ribosomal RNA", at positions 28 to 1382 of the family's 1533-position model. The record is from RNAcentral.
GACGAACGCUGGCGGCGUGCUUAACACGUGCAAGUCGAACGGAGCGGCCCUGUCUUGCGGGGUACUCGAGUGGCGAACGGGUGAGUAACACGUGGGUGAUCUGCCCUGCACUUCGGGAUAAGCCUGGGAAACUGGGUCUAAUACCGGAUAGGAGCCAUUUUUAGGGUGAUGGUUGGAAAGUUUUUUCGGUGUAGGAUGAGCUCGCGGCCUAUCAGCUUGUGUGGUGGGGUAAUGGCCUACCAAGGCGGCGACGGGUAACCGGCCUGAGAGGGUGGACGGCCACAUUGGGACUGAUAUACGGCCCAGACUCCUACGGGAGGCAGCAGUGGGGAAUAUUGCACAAUGGGCGCAAGCCUGAUGCAGCGACGCCGCGUGGGGGAUGACGGCCUUCGGGUUGUAAACUCCUUUCGCUAGGAACGAAGCUUUUUGUGACUGUACCUAGAUAAUAAGCACCGGCUAACUACGUGCCAGCAGCCGCGAUAAUACGGAGGGUGCGAGCGUUGUCCGAAAUUGCUGGGCGUACGGGGCUCGGAGGUGGUUUGUCACGUCGUCUGUGAAAUUCCGGGGCCUUACUCCGGGCGUGCAGGCGAUACGGGCAUAACUUGAGUACUGUAGGGGUAACUGGAAUUCCUGGUGUAGCGGUGAAAUGCGCAGAUAUCAGGAGGAACACCGAUGGCGAAGGCAGGUUACUGGGCAGUUACUGACGCUGAGGAGCGAAAGCAUGGGUAGCGAACAGGAUUAGAUACCCUGGUAGUCCAUGCCGUAAACGGUGGGCGCUAGGUGUGAGGGUCUUUUCACGACUUUCGUGCCGUAGCUAACGCAUUGAGCGCCCCGCCUGGGGAGUACGGCCGCAAGGCUAAAACUCAAAGGAAUUGACGGGGGCCCGCACAAGCGGCGGAGCAUGUGGAUUAAUUCGAUGCAACGCGAAGAACCUUACCUGGGCUUGACAUACACCGGAUCGGGCUAUAGAUAGUCUUUCCCUUUGUGGCUGGUGUACAGGUGGUGCAUGGUUGUCGUCAGCUCGUGUCGUGAGAUGUUGGGUUAAGUCCCGCAACGAGCGCAACCCUUGUCUUAUGUUGCCAGCAUUUGGUUGGGGACUCAUGAGAGACUGCCCGGGUCAACUCGGAGGAAGGUGGGGAUGACGUCAAAUCAUCAUGCCCCUUAUGUCCAGGGCUUCACACAUGCUACAAUGGUCGGUACAACUCGCAGCCGACACUGUGAGGUGGAUCGAAUCCCUGAAAGCCGGCCUUAAUUCCGAAUUGGGUCUGCAACUCAACCCCUUGAAUUGGAAUUCCUUAGUAAUCCCAGAUCAGCAACCCUGCCGGGAAAACCUUCCCGGGCCCU